Long non-coding RNA from Sinocyclocheilus grahami, 468 nucleotides. RefSeq lists it as uncharacterized. NCBI's taxonomy places the organism in Eukaryota, Metazoa, Chordata, Actinopteri, Cypriniformes, Cyprinidae. The record is from RefSeq and is a predicted model, not a curated record. The transcript is spliced from 3 exons.
UCAAACACUUUUCAUCGCGAUACCACAAAUGUGACUCUUUUCUGCCGUCUUUUUUUGCGGGUCUAAAACUUUUGUUUGCAAGUUGAAAAGUUUUGCUUGCAAGUGAAGCUGUCUCUCAGUGGGCGGUCUCUACCCACCAGGAUGAAAGGCCUUUUUCUAUUGGUCACUCUCGAUUGAAGUCACAGGUUGACCACGCCCACUACGUUUCCCCAGAAUCCCCGCCACUGCCACCGCAGUCUGACAGAAGAGUGAGCGAGGUUGUAUCAUGGCGAGCAACAGGUCGUUUACUGGGAAGAUUUGGUGUUGAUGGAGGAGGCAACAUCUUCAAGGCAAAACCUUAAGACCUCAUUCAACAUCAUCCAAUGUUGCAAUCACCCUCAGGAGGCACUUGAAGACCAGUGUCCAAUAUGCACAGGAACAUUUCCAGUGUCAGAAGUAGAACUGCCAUGCCAGCUUUUGUGGAGAAAG